Molecule: long non-coding RNA, 1299 nt
Filed under: Strigops habroptila (Kakapo)
Lineage: Eukaryota; Metazoa; Chordata; Aves; Psittaciformes; Psittacidae
Description: lncRNA (ENSSHBG00005010914.1)
Source: RNAcentral
GCCAAGGGCCGGCCGGGAGCGCUCUUCGGGCGAAGCGGCACCGAGCGCCGCGGCAGUCUCCUGGCAAGGGGGAGAAAAAGCCACGUCCCGCGCGUCAGCUUGCAUAGCGGGGCUGCGGAGACACAGGGCCGAGGGCAAGAAAAGAUCUGGAGCGCGGCUUACCCGAGUCUAUGUGUUUGCAGGAGCGCAGGGCCCUUGGCUGCACGGCAGCAUGCGGCACCCCGUCCUGCCCGGGCCGGGGAAGAGUCCAGCAGCCGCACGCUGGGACUGCGGCAGAGGGGGGAUAAAGUGCAUCAAACCAGCCCAGCAGCUGCCGAGAGCAAGCGGAGUACCUGCCUGUACCCUGACCAUCUUACUCCUGUAAGCGUACAAUGGAUCAUUUUCAGUCUGAGCCCUCCUUUUUGGAAGAAUCUCCCUCUCAGCAUCGUUAGCCUGUCAACAGAUGCUUAUGACACUUCUCCCAAUUAUUCCAAAAGUAUUCCCCCUCCAUUGUGCUUCUUUUCCAAAAGCUCCAAGGAAAACUCUAAUCUCCCAGCUCGCCAGUAAAACGGGAGCAUUUUCGGGGCAGAUUAGUUACGCCUGCCCUGCUUGCUACUUUCUGCUUUAAAACCAUUUUUUCAGCACACUGAAGUAUUGACUUUUGUACUAGCACAGUAAGGCAGCAACUAAUAAAAUUUUAACCUUGUAAACUAACUGUAGUAAAGGCACCUAAAAAAGUCAGGGUACUGUUAGUCUUAAAACCUCUUUUAAUCUGCUACAGCCUUAGGAACAAGUUUUGGCAUAACCCAAGCUGAAGAGAAAGAAAUGCUUCAUACUUAAAGCUACAUGAGUUAAGGGCAACAUUUAUCCAUUUUGAGAAUAUUGACAGAAUUAUUUUCACGCCAUGGGACUGUGAAUCCAUUCUUGGGGAGGUACAGCUCUUUUCACCACGCACAGCAUUAAGCCUCGACAACAGCAACCUCCUGCCAUCAAACCCAGGAGACACCACCACAGCUGUGAGUUUGCAGGCAGGUGACCCAAGUACCAGUUUGCUGUCACCAAAAGGGCAGGCCUUUUCCUGUGAUGUUUCCUGGCUGACUGUACGGGCUGACAAGCUUCAGGGCUAGGCAAGGUGUGAAGAGACAGCACAGUCUGGAGGAGGAAUGUGCACCGAUCCCUAGGAGCCACAGCUUGAGCAGAAACACAAGCCGCCUUCAAAACCUCUCCAAAUGGCAUCCUCACUGCUCCUGAUUACUCACUUUCUUCUGAGUGAAGUCCUCUGACGACUUCAUACACAGCUGUUGCCAUGGAAAAAAAAAA